RNAcentral lists this ribosomal RNA (253 nucleotides) under uncultured bacterium. RNAcentral's name for it is "partial 16S ribosomal RNA". It matches the Rfam family "Bacterial small subunit ribosomal RNA", at positions 524 to 776 of the family's 1533-position model. The record is from RNAcentral.
UACGUAGGGGGCUAGCGUUGUUCGGAAUUACUGGGCGUAAAGCGCACGUAGGCGGAUACUUAAGUCAGGGGUGAAAUCCCGGGGCUCAACCCCGGAACUGCCUUUGAUACUGGGUAUCUCGAGUCCGGAAGAGGUGAGUGGAAUUCCGAGUGUAGAGGUGAAAUUCGUAGAUAUUCGGAGGAACACCAGUGGCGAAGGCGGCUCACUGGUCCGGUACUGACGCUGAGGUGCGAAAGCGUGGGGAGCAAACAGG